GGGCAGUUUCCACGACUUAGAGAGCAUUUCUGAUUCUGCACACGCGAGAGGUCGUAGGUUCAAGUCCUAUACCGCCCACCA
This 81-nucleotide transfer RNA is filed under the name Deinococcus humi. RNAcentral describes it as "tRNA-OTHER". Lineage: Bacteria; Thermotogati; Deinococcota; Deinococci; Deinococcales; Deinococcaceae. The record is from RNAcentral.